Molecule: ribosomal RNA, 433 nt
Filed under: uncultured bacterium
Lineage: Bacteria
Description: partial 16S ribosomal RNA
Rfam family: Bacterial small subunit ribosomal RNA
Source: RNAcentral
AACGAACGCUGGCGGCAUGCCUAACACAUGCAAGUCGAACGAGACCUUCGGGUCUAGUGGCGCACGGGUGCGUAACGCGGGGGAACCUGCCCUUAGGUUCGGAAUAACUCCCCGGAAGGGGUGCUAAUACCGGAUAAUGUCUUCGGACCAAAGAUUUAUCGCCUUUGGAUGGGCCCGCGUUGGAUUAGCUAGUUGGUAGGGUAAAAGCCUACCAAGGCGACGAUCCAUAGCUGGUCUGAGAGGAUGAUCAGCCACACUGGGACUGAGACACGGCCCAGACUACUACGGGAGGCAGCAGUGGGGAAUAUUGGACAAUGGGCGAAAGCAUGAUCCAGCAAUGCCGCGUGAGUGAUGAAGGCCUUAGGGUUGUAAAGCUCUUUUACCCGGGAUGAUAAUGACAGUACCGGGAGAAUAAGCUCCGGCUAACUCCGUG